Molecule: ribosomal RNA, 497 nt
Filed under: uncultured bacterium
Lineage: Bacteria
Description: partial 16S ribosomal RNA
Rfam family: Bacterial small subunit ribosomal RNA
Source: RNAcentral
GAUGAACGCUGGCGGCGUGCCUAAUACAUGUAAGUCGAGCGAACGGACGAGAAGCUUGCUUCUCUGAUGUUAGCGGCGGACGGGUGAGUAACACGUGGAUAACCUACCUAUAAGACUGGGAUAACUUCGGGAAACCGGAGCUAAUAACGGAUAAUAUUUUGAACCGCAUGGUUCAAAAGUGAAAGACGGUCUUGCUGUCACUUAUAGAUGGAUCCGCGCUGCAUUAGCUAGUUGGUAAGGUAACGGCUUACCAAGGCAACGAUGCAUAGCCGACCUGAGAGGGUGAUCGGCCACACUGGAACUGAGACACGGUCCAGACUCCUACGGGAGGCAGCAGUAGGGAAUCUUCCGCAAAGGGCGAAAGCCUGACGGAGCAACGCCGCGUGAGUGAUGAAGGACUUCGGAUCGUAAAACUCUGUUAUUAGGGAAGAACAUAUGUGUAAGUAACUGUGCACAUCUUGACGGUACCUAAUCAGAAAGCCACGGCUAACUACGUG